RNA transcript from Odontomachus brunneus, 2728 nucleotides. RefSeq lists it as uncharacterized. The transcript has 4 exons. The record is from RefSeq and is a predicted model, not a curated record. NCBI's taxonomy places the organism in Eukaryota, Metazoa, Arthropoda, Insecta, Hymenoptera, Formicidae.
UGAUGCGUCAAAAAUUCUCGACAUGCCGCCGCUCUCCAAUCAUGAUUCGCGCCAUAACAAUCAAAAUUGAUACUGCGAUGACGAGGCCGCGCACGUGCCAGUUACGCGAUUUAAAAUGGAUGGAUAACGCGGUCCCUUCGCCGUUCCUUAUGAGUAACGAGAUUCCAUGGUAGUUACAAUUAUGGAAAGCACCGCCACCGCCAUAAUUUUGGGCUUGGUCCUGAUGUUACCGCUGCUCAUACAACUGCAGAUGCUUGUCACACGUCCUAGGAAGUUACUAGAAACGCUUCUUCGGUGCCACUUGACGGAGAGUACGCGCGACAUCCGCCGCAGCAAGCGCAACCUAGUGCAGCACUAUCCCAAGUUGCCGGACCUGUUAAAUUCCAAUUCGGAAUCCAGGAUGGUGGUGUGCUCGCCGAGGACGAUCCUCUCGUCACCCGCUAUGCCGCCACGUGUCACGUCCAACGAUACGUGCCGAUAUGAACGGUCCGUUAGAAAAACGAUACCGCUGGCACAACACUCGUCGUCCUACGUGGCGACGCAAAUCGAGCUGCCGGUGGUGGAUAUCACCUGCAACUACAACUCCUGCUGCUACAAGAGCCUCGAGGAGAACCUGAGACGGCGAUACGGCGCGAAUUAUCCGCCGGGCGAGGUGGUGCUGAAUUAUAUUCAAUUAAGCACGCCGGAUUCGCGCGUCGGGAUGGCGGACGGCGUCGGCGGAAGCGACGAUCUCCUGGACGUCUUUGAGAUGGACGACGCCGGUACAUACUCGUCGUCGGUGUCGACCAAGUUGGAGACCGAAUAUCUGAAUCUUUUGGAUCAUUUCGUGUCGAGGCAGCGAGGAAAAGCUUUGACCGCGGGCAAGUUCACCGAGACCCCGUCGUCGUCGGACGAAAGAAAUCUCGAAAUGUCGCCCCACGCUGUUACAUGGAGCCAAUCCACCCUGAAAAGUCCGGUCACUCAAGAAAAGGAAUCCGAGUCGCCUGGCAAUCAGCGUUCUUUAAAAGGUAUUGAAUACAAUCAAAGCGGCGGAGGCGGUGGCGGAGGUGGUGGUGGCGGCGGCGGUGCAAAUAGACGUCCCGACAGCUCGCAAAGAGUGCUUAAGCGACGGUGAGAGGCGUUCGAUCGAGGGAUAGACGGUAAUCCCAUCCGUGUGCGGGGCCAACCAGCUAUCUGUCAUGAAGUCGAGGAAAACACACCGGGAUGACGAGAUGAAGAAAGAAAUCUGAAGAAUUCGAUCGCGAGUGAAAGAAGUUGUUUAUAUAUAAUAUUGUUCAUAUUAUUGUGUUUGCGAUGCUUCUUUUUUUAAUCGAUCAUAACGUUUGACUCUUUUACGUGGGCAGCUAAAGAACAGCAUGUAUGUGUAUGAGAAUGCGUACUGAGGAGAUUUCUUUUUACUUCAUGUCGCUACGUCGAAUUAUUCGCGUGUUAUAGACGUUUAAGGCCGCGGAAUGACAUUAAGUUUAGUCUCGAAAUUCGCAUUGGCGCACGAUGCUUGCUCUCGCGUCGGUGCAUUAUAUUGCUUCUAAAGUGAGAUGAAUGACUGCGUGACCGCAGCGAGCAGGUGAGCGGACCUGUGCUUAUCUGAACCGCGGAGUGGGGGUAGCGAGUUGUGCCACUGUAUACCGUCGCAUACAGCGCUAGGUGACUUUCCAUUCAUACAUUCCAUUCACGCGCUGCGUCGUGACGUAUCCACAGCUCGCUGCAGCGAUAACGCCGGCCGAUCGAAAACGCAGAUUGAUACAAACGUCAAUAACUUCGCUUGUAGACGUCAUAGCGACUUGAAACAAAAAUCACUGGAAAGGAGAUAUUACUGCACUUCCGAUGAAUGUGAAAUUGUCCUUCGGUGAAAUAAGAAUAAAAUAGCGUAAGUAUACAAUUAUGAAAAACAUAGGUGUUUGUAUUGUUUAUAAACACAUAGGUGUUUAUGUUAAAAUGGACGUGAACUGUCAAUCUAUGUUAAAAGCCAAUGGGAAACCUUGGUUUGGAUUUGUAAUGUGAAGCGUCAAUUUCAUAUUUUCGACAAGUAUAAAGUACAAUUUGAGAGAAAAGCGAAAUGGUAAUAUAAUUGGAAGUUUCUACCUAGCAGCGAAUAUUUUUUGUCAUAACGUCGAAGUUGGAAUUGUUAAAAAAUUUAGCUUCGGUAACAACGAGACUAGUUGUAUCUAUUUUAAUGGCACGUUUUUGCGGUUAUAGCUAUAUUUUAACUCUUGCAGUUAAUUCUUUUCCUGUGUGAAUAUAAAACCAAAAUUUCGACCCGUGUAUAUUCACAACAACAACAUACGAUAAGAAUGAUGUAUACGGGACGCGUUACAUUCUUUUUUAUUGUGUCGGUUUACCUCCUCGAGAUUCUCAGUAGAUGACACAUUGAACAAGUGCAGGUCAAACGGCGGUGACGUGAAGUGUGCGGAAAGAUCGAUGGCUUCUUUAGAAUCGAAAGAGAAGUCUUUUGACGGAGAGUACUGUCAAAUUGACUAUGACCUAGCCUGUCUUUUAUACGCGUCGUCAACUUAUCAACUUAUUCGGUAUAUAAAAUUGCGCGUCGAAAGGAAUAGAAUAAAGAGAUAUAUCGAGAUGUUUAAUUUACUUGGCUGUAAUUUGCUCGUAAUCCAUUGAAGCCUUAUCCUUUCAUUGCAUAUAAAUUAUUUUUAUAAAAAUACUGUUAUUUGCAAUAUACAAAAAGAUAUUUUAACAAUAUACUAUAUACUAAAAUAUACUAAUAACUGUA